This is a long non-coding RNA of Cyprinus carpio (common carp), 1303 nucleotides long. RefSeq lists it as uncharacterized. The record is from RefSeq and is a predicted model, not a curated record. The transcript has 3 exons. NCBI's taxonomy places the organism in Eukaryota, Metazoa, Chordata, Actinopteri, Cypriniformes, Cyprinidae.
AAUAGGUAGUCAAUGCAGCGGCAGUCAUUUUGAGCUGUUCCAUUCUCUUUUUUUAAAAAAAAAAUCUUUAAAUUGUGAGAAUGCCAGUAAAUCACCUACUCGUAUCACUUAUUUUUCUACUUACCUUCAAAACAGAGUCCUUUGCUGAAAUCCAGCCCCUGAAUCUGUCUGUGCGUGCAGGGGACCGUUUUGAGUUUGUUCAGAGAGAAGAGCUUCCACAGUUUUUACAGUUAAGAUGGAUGAAAACAACUUUUUCCAGAAAUCACUCAGAAACCAUUGUGACAUACUACAAUAAGACUAAAGACACUGACCCUGCCAGUUCUUACAAGGACAGAGUGGUGUUCAAUACUACAAAUUUCUCUCUAACACUGAUGGAAAUGCAGAAGACAGACAGCGGACUUUACUGCACAACAACAAUUGGGAAAAAAACCAUAAAUGUUUGUCAGUACAAUGUAUCUGUUGUUGAUAACCACGGAUCACCCACUACUAUUUUUCUUCCGUGGAUAUUACUUACCUCUACACUAAGUACAAUAAUGUUCUAAAUUGUAAUAUGAAUAAAGAUUUAAUUAUUUUUUUUUUUUAAGAAUUACUAAUAGCAAUUAUUUCAAAAGGAAAUGCUAUGACAGUGAGAUUAGUAUGAUUAAACAAGGAUAAUGAAUAACAAAACAAUACAACAAAACAUAGCUGCCUACUUUUAUUUUGUCAACACAUGCUCAUUACAAUAUCAAUUGCUUAUUUGUUGAUGUAGAUUUACCAAGUCUGUUUACAUUCCAUAGACAUAUGUCUACCAAAAUUUGUAAUAUACAAAAUAUACAGUAGGCUAUAUUAAAAAAACAAGUUUCAACAUUCCAAGAGCAUAUGAAGGAGGAGACAAUGUAAUGUACCAUGUAAUGUAUGCCCAUCUGAAAGAUUAUGCUCUAUAAACAUUAAAAAAGAAGAAAAAAAAAACAUUUGGAGUUUCCAGCUGAUACCAAUUCAUAAAUAUGUAUAUAUCUGCCACAGCACACUUUUUGGCGGGGUUUUUCUCUACAGUGAGUGUUGAUAUAGCAAUGAGUUGUCAUACCAGUGGGGGUGGAAUCUUUUAAAGUUCCAAUUGCGUGAUAGUGAUGUGAAGUAGACUUAACAGGGUAUUUCAAUAUGCAGUGAGUGCCUAUGUUCAGUCCACUUUCCCACCUAUCUAAAUGACACUGUCUAGCGAAUAAGUGAACAACAAUGAUAGGAAGUACGGAGGGAAACUUCAAAGAAGCAUGAGAGAAGUUUUUCUAAAAAAAAUGCAGCAAAAAUAAACUUUAAUGUUUCAUUA